Molecule: ribosomal RNA, 523 nt
Filed under: uncultured bacterium
Lineage: Bacteria
Description: bacterial SSU rRNA
Rfam family: Bacterial small subunit ribosomal RNA
Source: RNAcentral
AGAGUUUGAUCAUGGCUCAGAUUGAACGCUGGCGGAAUGCUUUACACAUGCAAGUCGAACGGCAGCAUAGGUGCUUGCACCUGAUGGCGAGUGGCGAACGGGUGAGUAAUACAUCGGAACGUGCCCAGUCGUGGGGGAUAACGUAGCGAAAGUUACGCUAAUACCGCAUACGAUCUACGGAUGAAAGCGGGGGACCGUAAGACCUCGCGCGAUUGGAGCGGCCGAUGGCAGAUUAGGUAGUUGGUGGGGUAAAGGCUCACCAAGCCGACGAUCUGUAGCUGGUCUGAGAGGACGACCAGCCACACUGGGACUGAGACACGGCCCAGACUCCUACGGGAGGCAGCAGUGGGGAAUUUUGGACAAUGGGCGCAAGCCUGAUCCAGCCAUUCCGCGUGCAGGAUGAAGGCCCUCGGGUUGUAAACUGCUUUUGUACAGAACGAAAAGGCUCUGGUUAAUACCUGGGGCUCAUGACGGUACUGUAAGAAUAAGCACCGGCUAACUACGUGCCAGCAGCCGCGGUAAU